This 41-nucleotide ribosomal RNA is filed under the name fungal sp. 1LL1-1p. RNAcentral describes it as "partial 25S ribosomal RNA". Lineage: Eukaryota; Fungi. The record is from RNAcentral.
UCUGAUCUCAAAUCAGGUAGGACUACCCGCUGAACUUAAGC